AAAACCGGGUUAACUGCCUGAGAUUCGGGCUAGGCUGGUGAUGAUUUAAUCACCGGCCU
Arsukibacterium sp. MJ3 is the source of this 59-nucleotide non-coding RNA. It matches the Rfam family "Pseudomonas sRNA P26". Rfam says of the family: P26 is conserved across many Gammaproteobacteria species and appears to be consistently located between the DNA directed RNA polymerase (beta subunit) and 50S ribosomal protein L7/L12 genes. The record is from Rfam. Lineage: Bacteria; Pseudomonadati; Pseudomonadota; Gammaproteobacteria; Chromatiales; Chromatiaceae.